RNAcentral lists this unclassified non-coding RNA (253 nucleotides) under uncultured Caryophanaceae bacterium. RNAcentral describes it as "uncultured Planococcaceae bacterium contains 16S-23S intergenic spacer region". It matches the Rfam family "Bacterial small subunit ribosomal RNA", at positions 524 to 776 of the family's 1533-position model. The record is from RNAcentral. Lineage: Bacteria; Bacillati; Bacillota; Bacilli; Caryophanales; Caryophanaceae.
UACGGAGGAGGCAAGCGUUGUCCGGAAUUAUUGGGCGUAAAGCGCGCGCAGGCGGUCCCUUAAGUCUGCUGUGAAAGCCUACGGCUCAACCGCGGAGGGUCGUUGGAAACUGGUGGACUUGAGUGCGGAAGAGGAAAGUGGAAUUCCAUGUGUAGCGGUGAAAUGCGUAGAGAUGUGGAGGAACACCGGUGGCGAAGGCGACUUUCUGGUCUGUAACUGACGCUGAGGCGCGAAAGCGUGGGGAGCAAACAGG